This 253-nucleotide ribosomal RNA is filed under the name uncultured bacterium. RNAcentral describes it as "partial 16S ribosomal RNA". It matches the Rfam family "Bacterial small subunit ribosomal RNA", at positions 524 to 776 of the family's 1533-position model. The record is from RNAcentral.
UACGGGGGGGGCAAGCGUUGUUCGGAAUUACUGGGCGUAAAGGGCUCGUAGGCGGCCAACUAAGUCAGACGUGAAAUCCCUCGGCUUAACCGGGGAACUGCGUCUGAUACUGGAUGGCUUGAGGUUGGGAGAGGGAUGCGGAAUUCCAGGUGUAGCGGUGAAAUUCGUAGAUAUCGGGAGGAACACCUGUGGCGAAGGCGGCCAUCUGGACAGUCACUGACACUGAGACGCGAAAGCGUGGGUAGCAAACAGG